AAUAGGAAAUUUUUGUAUCAAUAAAACUGGAAUUAAGUUUGCAAUUAAAUUUUGUUUAGAUAAUAGCUUAUAAUGAAAGACGGUAUAGGAUAUUUGGUGAAACAAUAGACAUAGCUGUCGGUAACUGCCUGGAUAGAUUUGCCAGAGCCUUGAAGCUAUCUAAUGAUCCUAGUCCUGGUUAUAACAUUGAGCAAUUAGCUAAAAAUGGGAAAAACUAUUUGCCUCUGCCAUACGUUGUGAAGGGCAUGGACGUAUCUUUCUCUGGUUUAUUAUCUUAUAUUGAGGUACAUUUAUUUGUUAAUUUUUGAUAAAAAGAUUUUGUGGUAAUUAAUUUUAUUAUUUUUUUAAGG
Non-coding RNA from Parasteatoda tepidariorum (common house spider), 350 nucleotides. NCBI's taxonomy places the organism in Eukaryota, Metazoa, Arthropoda, Arachnida, Araneae, Theridiidae. The record is from RefSeq and is a predicted model, not a curated record.